CGAAAGCCUGACGGAGCAACGCCGCGUGUGGGAAGAAGGCCUUUGGGCUGUCAACCACUUUUCUCAGGGAAGAAGCUCUGACGGUACCUGAGGAAUCAGCCUCGGCUAACUCCGUGCCAGCAGCCGCGGUAAUACGGAGGAGGCAAGCGUUAUCCGGAAUUAUUGGGCGUAAAGCGUCCGCAGGGGGCUCAUCAAGUCUGCUGUCAAAGCUCGGAGCUCAACUCCGACCCGGCAGUGGAAACUGGGGAGCUAGAGGGCGGCAGGGGCAGAAGGAAUUCCCGGUGUAGCGGUGAAAUGCGUAGAUAUCGGGAAGAACACCGGUGGCGAAAGCGCUCUACUGGGUCGCACCUGACCCUCAGGGACGAAAGCUAAGGUAGCG
This 379-nucleotide ribosomal RNA is filed under the name uncultured cyanobacterium. Its description in RNAcentral is "bacterial SSU rRNA". It matches the Rfam family "Bacterial small subunit ribosomal RNA", at positions 376 to 770 of the family's 1533-position model. Lineage: Bacteria; Bacillati; Cyanobacteriota. The record is from RNAcentral.